RNAcentral lists this non-coding RNA (1642 nucleotides) under Cryptosporidium parvum. Lineage: Eukaryota; Apicomplexa; Conoidasida; Eucoccidiorida; Cryptosporidiidae. The record is from RNAcentral.
AAACUACAAAGGCAAGGAGAAACAGUGACUAAAAAUAAAAGUUAGAGAUUUAUAACCUCAAAAAUACUCCACCUUUUGUAGAGAAGUUAAAAUAGGGCUAAUACUUUAUACAUGCACUAAAUAAUCAAAAUGUGGCGCCAGAAUUUCCAAGUUUUAUUUCGGGAUUAGGAGACUUAUUAAUUUGUUUAAGAAACCUAAAGGCACUGAUAAUAUCUUGGAUAAUAUCCUUAGGGUUUACUAUGCAGGUGAACCUGUAUAUAUAAAGUUUAAUAUUUUUGGAAAUAGAGGAUGGCAAAUGUGAGAUUUUAAGGGUGAGGUUUGGUUUGUCGGUAGAAGCCUGAGGAGGAAAGUUAGCAUUGCGCAUAGGACCACUAUCUUUUCCAGAAAAUAAAUCCUUGUGACAAGUUUUUUCACAAUCUUGAAGGUUAUCUGUGUUAUAAUCGUCUUGGCUGUACCCUUGUCUGCUUUCAACGUAGUUUUUGAAGUCUUUCUUGAUUGUAAAUGCAAUACCAUAAAUUAUUGCGCAUACUGUCAUUUCUAUUGUAAGGAGCCAGUUAUGAAGUUUAAUGGUAUAGUUUGGCUCAUCUGGGUAAAUCCCAAAGUGGCUGAGAACAGAGAGGAUGAUAGAUUGCCAAAAACUCAUAAAAAUUAUAAGUUUAAUGCAAAAGAAUUUAAGUACUGGUCUGAUUGGUGCUAGUUGCUCUGAAAUUGAGAUAUAUAGUAGGAACAGAGAGUAUACUGAAAGAGAAACUGAUAUACUAUUUAAAACUGUAAUGUAUAGAUAUCCUCUCUUGAAUGAAAAUGAUCCAGAUCCAUACAAUCCUAUAGAUUCCAGAAAAAGUGAAAUAAGCGCUGAAAUUGGCUUCAAAAUCACAAAUUGAAGGACUCCUAACUUGAUAAAAGAGUAGAAUCUUGCGAUCUUUAGACGAUGGUUUGCUAGUUCAUCUCCUUGGAACCCGCUAUCAAUAGAAACUUCAUCUAAGUUAUCCUUCUUCUCGCAAAAAUAAUCCGGGCAAAUAUCCAUAAUAUUUACUGAAAUUUCUUCCUCAUUUGAUUCAAUACUCCCAGCUGUUGAGGCCAGCCCAACCAUACUUAGAGAGUGGUUAAAAUGAUGAUGUGGCCAUAUUUCAGCCUUAAUCUUGUUACUCUCUAAUACUGACAAGAUGACUUGGUCACCUCCCAUAUAAAAAAUCAAAAGUUGCAAAAAUGAGAACAUUACAUAUCCUUCAUAGCAGUCUCUUACUAUAUUCAAUGGUGAAGCAUAAUCCACGAACAAAUAUGAUAUAUAUGAUAUUAUUGCAUAUACUGGAAUCAUUGUUAAAAUUCUACAUAUGCACAACUGCAAUUUAGGCUUACAUAGAUUCAAAUACUGGUGCAUAAUGUUAACCACAGAGAUAAUCAAUGUUAAUAGUGUGGCCACACUAGAAACAACCCAUUUCCAUCUCAUUGUUUUAUUCUACAAAGACUCACUUUCUAUUUAAUUAUAGAAACAUACCAAUUUUUAACUUGGUUUACUCUGUCUCCUGAAUAUUUAUUACUGGCUUGUACUCCUUGAUGGCCAAGAGAGUUUUACUCAAUUACUUUAUUUAUCUGAUACGAUAUUUUGCCACUUUCCAUUAAUUUUUAAUAUAUUUUCACUUUU